RNAcentral lists this ribosomal RNA (805 nucleotides) under uncultured Bacteroidota bacterium. RNAcentral describes it as "bacterial SSU rRNA". It matches the Rfam family "Bacterial small subunit ribosomal RNA", at positions 63 to 860 of the family's 1533-position model. The record is from RNAcentral. Lineage: Bacteria; Pseudomonadati; Bacteroidota.
CGAGGGGCAGCAUGGUCUUAGCUUGCUAAGACUGAUGGCGACCGGCGCACGGGUGCGUAACGCGUAUGCAACUUGCCUCACAGAGGGGGAUAACCCGUCGAAAGACGGACUAAUACCGCGUACACUCUAUGUUGGGCAUCCAAUGUAGAGGAAAUGAAAUUCGCUGUGAGAUAGGCAUGCGUCCCAUUAGCUAGUUGGUGAGGUAACGGCUCACCAAGGCGACGAUGGGUAGGGGAACUGAGAGGUUGAACCCCCACACUGGUACUGAGACACGGACCAGACUCCUACGGGAGGCAGCAGUGAGGAAUAUUGGUCAAUGGGCGAGAGCCUGAACCAGCCAAGUCGCGUGAAGGAUGACUGUCUUAUGGAUUGUAAACUUCUUUUAUACGGGAAUAACAAGAGCCACGUGUGGCUCCCUGCAUGUACCGUAUGAAUAAGCAUCGGCUAACUCCGUGCCAGCAGCCGCGGUAAUACGGAGGAUGCGAGCGUUAUCCGGAUUUAUUGGGUUUAAAGGGUGCGUAGGCGGCCUGUUAAGUCAGCGGUGAAAUCUAGGAGCUUAACUCCUAAAUUGCCAUUGAUACUGGCGGGCUUGAGUGUAGAUGAGGUAGGCGGAAUGCGUGGUGUAGCGGUGGAAUGCAUAGAUAUCACGCAGAACUCCGAUUGCGAAGGCAGCUUACUAAGGUACAACUGACGCUGAAGCACGAAAGCGUGGGUAUCAAACAGGAUUAGAUACCCUGGUAGUCCACGCAGUAAACGAUGAUAACUGGGCGUAUGCGAUAUACAGUAUGCUCCUAAGCGAAAGCGU